UCGGGAUAGCAGGAUUUGAACCUGCGGCAUCCUGCUCCCAAAGCAGGCGCGCUACCAAACUGCGCUAUAUCCCG
This 74-nucleotide transfer RNA is filed under the name Bangia fuscopurpurea. RNAcentral's name for it is "tRNA-Pro". Lineage: Eukaryota; Rhodophyta; Bangiophyceae; Bangiales; Bangiaceae. The record is from RNAcentral.